CGCGUAGGCGGCGGCGUAAGUCCGGUGUGGAAUCCCGUGGCUCAACCACGGAAUUGCAUCGGAAACUGCGUUGCUUGAGUCAGCGAGGGGAUGGCGGAAUUCCUGGUGUAGCAGUGAAAUGCGUAGAUAUCAGGAGGAAGGCCGGUGGCGAAGGCGGCCAUCUGGCGCUUGACUGACGCUGAGGCGCGAAAGCGUGGGGAGCAAACA
RNAcentral lists this ribosomal RNA (207 nucleotides) under uncultured bacterium. RNAcentral describes it as "partial 16S ribosomal RNA". It matches the Rfam family "Bacterial small subunit ribosomal RNA", at positions 568 to 774 of the family's 1533-position model. The record is from RNAcentral.